UACAGAGGCCUCGAGCGUUAGGCGGAAUCACUGGGCUUAAAGCGUGUGUAGGUGGAUGCCUAAGUACCUUGUGAAAUCCCACGGCUUAACCGUGGAACUGCUGGGUAUACUGGGCGUCUUGAGCCACUCAGGGGCUACCGGAACAAGCGGUGGAGCGGUGAAAUGCGUAGAUAUCGCUUGGAACGCCAAUGGUGAAAACAGGUAGCUGGGGGUGUGCUGACACUGAGACACGAAAGCCAGGGGAGCAAAGCGGG
This 254-nucleotide ribosomal RNA is filed under the name uncultured bacterium. RNAcentral describes it as "partial 16S ribosomal RNA". It matches the Rfam family "Bacterial small subunit ribosomal RNA", at positions 524 to 777 of the family's 1533-position model. The record is from RNAcentral.